Molecule: non-coding RNA, 8115 nt
Organism: Triticum urartu
Lineage: Eukaryota; Viridiplantae; Streptophyta; Magnoliopsida; Poales; Poaceae
Source: RefSeq, a predicted model, not a curated record
UUCGCCUAGUAGGAAAACCCUAUUUGUCCGCUCGAGCAGAGCAAGGGAUUCGUCAGGUGGCGGCGGCUCGCGAGUACGAGCUCGACGGCGGCUGAGCAUCGUCGGCUUCGGGAGUUGGAGACUCGCGAGUACGAGUACCCACAUGUGUCUGUAGAUUGAGAGAGCAGUCAGGCGGCGGCGACUCGCGAGUACGAGCUCGACGGCGGCUGAGCAUCGUCGGGUUCGGGAGUUGGAGAGGAUGAGGGGGAGGCGGCGGCGCGGCGGGCGCCUGGAGUCUCGGCAUCCGACCUCAGGUCCAAGCUGCCGACGGAGGCUGUUGCGCCGCGAGCACGCUGAGCCUGAGGUAGCUGGACGACGGCCACAGCGAUGCACGAGGAGGCGAGCCCGAGGCGGUGGGUGGCGGCGGAUCCAGUCAUGCUCCUCCUGAAUUCCCCGUCGUCGUGCUACCGAGGGCGUCUUCACCCAGAUCUCCUCACGCCGGUGCGCAUGGCGACUCCUGCCGCUGGUUCCGCCUGCCGGUCGCGACGACGUAAACGAACAGAGCAUGUGCUCGCGGCGGAGGAUGCUCUCUCGCUCCCGCGGAACGCUUGCCUCGCCCGCCGCCACGGACAAGAGGGAGUAUUUCUUUAUGUAAUUGGCAAGCGCUGGUGGAAAGUGACAACAGAAGUUUUCUUGCUAUUGCGGCAGGCAACAAAAUGGAGCAUAUUCCAGAAGGAUUUAUUUUGCACAUAAAAGUGAUGGCUUGGGCCUUCGGCACCAUGGCGGCAUCAGUUUGCACGUUGUCGCUCCACUUGUAUUGCUGGUUGCAAAGAAAGGUGCGAACAGUCCAUUAGGAGGUGAAACUUAAGCACUAUAUAGUGAAAAUUUCCCUAGCAUUGUGCGAGCUGCUGCUGUUGCAUUUAAAUCGGUUUGUCCAAAUCGACAGUCCGAGGCUCCAAUCGAUGCAGUCGCGACCCCGCCUCUAUCAGCUCACCACCCAACCAGUUACACUCAGUUAUGUGACAGUUUUGAUUCAUUCUACAGAAUUAUUGGAACUCUGGAAUGACCAAAUCCCAAUUCUGCUUCAAAGGUGAGUACUGCACGAGCAAGUCAAAUUUAUUGGGACGUAGAAGAGGCAGCAAGCACAUCUAGCAGCCGGAGACAAGCAACAGUUUGUUCCCCAACAGCAACAGCAAUCCUGUUUUGUCUGGCGAAUAGUGACGAUGGCAUCAUCCACGUCUGUCGAACUGGUGGACACUUACAGCAGGUAUGCUAGCUCCUCAGAUUAAAUACAUAAUAUUAAGUUUGUUACAGUUUAUGGAUGAAACUGGGAAUCAGGUUCUACAAGCAUGCCUCAUAGUUAUGUAUAGUUUUUUUGUACAUUUGGUGUGCUGAACUCCUAUUUAAAGACGUUAUCAUUAUCCAUCUGAUCCUUCUGUUUGUUAGUUGGUUUCUUGAAUAAAUCAGUUCAGACGAUUAAUUGAUUUUGAGUAGAACAUGUCUUGCAUUAUAAGCUCCCAGCAGUUAUAUUUCAGAUCAGUAUUCGAGCUGAAAGGAGGCACUUAGGUUAGGAAACACCCAAGAUUUGACUCGCAGUACUAACAAAAGGAAAGAUACAUUUAUCAGAAUAGAAAUACAUUUAUCAUUUAAAAGCAAGGUAUGUUACAUAUUUGUUUUCAGUGAUUAAGACAUGGCUGGGGGAAACUCAAUAAGUAAACUUACAAAGAAAGAGACCAUUAUCAUUUUGGCGUGUAAUAUGUUUCCUUUCAUUAAUAUGUGAGUACACCUGUAUCAAGCCGUCCAAAUAAUAAAAGACAAAAAAUUAUUAGUGUGAGACAAUUGGUAAACCUACAUAUAUGUAAAUUAUCCGAUUAGGAAUCUAUUGAAAAUAGAUCAUUCAUAUCAUAAAUAACCAACAUGCAUUGGUUUUAUGCAUGUUAUUAGUUGCGGUCGUUCAUAAUUGUAUUAUUAUUAGUUCCGAAUUCAAAUUUCGAAAAAACAUUGCAUCCAAAAAAAUGUUACCAGGUGUUCAUCCUAUAUACAUAUACCUAAAAUAGGCUAGCCCGUGCGAAGGCACGGGUUGACGACUAGUUGCUACUAAAUAAGGAUCUUGGCCGAGAGAAUCUAGAGUAUGGUGUAUGGUCUAGAAAAGGAGCAAGAGUGCACUCGAGCAUGUUUAGGGGGAGGUAUGUUCGGGGCGGAGGCCACAGGGGGGAGCUAUGCCCGGCUGGAUGACCAUAAAGGGCGAGGGCGAAUUCCUUCUUUUAAGUAUAAACAUAUACUCCCUUUGUUCACUAAUACGAAAUGUUUUGGAUAUUUUAAUAUGAACUACGUACAGGAAUGAGUGAACAAAACACUCUAAAACGUGUCUAUAUACACUUGAUUCAGAAAAAGUUAGAACAUCUUAUAAUGGUUAAUGGAGGGAGUACUUAGAGAAUAAAAUCCUUCCCUAGCUAAUGGUGGAUCAACAACACUGAGUUUGAAGAGAUAGAGGAAUUAUUUGAUCCUGCACAUUGGAGCAUACGAAGGAAGCAUCGACACCAAUAUGCUUGGUGAGCUAUGUUGCACGGAGUCAUGCACAAUACUGAUAUCACAUCUAAAUAGACAAGACUCCCAACAAGAUGAUGAUAGCGCGUCAGAUCAAACAAAGGUGGAUGUUGAGCUCCAUGGGAGUUUCAUGCCACUUGAGAGGAUGAAGGCUCUAGCAACAUCGUGCGAGAGGCAUCGGCGCUAGCGAGUUUGCCACCAUCCUAGCCACGACGACAAUGCCGCACAGCAUAUAGUAGGAAAGUGGAGCGACAAUGCCGCGGGAGGAGGUGCACUCGAACGGGGGGCACUGCACUGCAGUCUAUUUCAUCUUUCGGGCAAGUGCCAGGCAGAUAAACAAGGCUUGCAACAAAAUGUCGAUAAAGCGCCAUAUCAGAGAGUAGGUCAACAUCACUAGCAGGGAGGUGAACAUUAAGCUCCAUGGGAGUCUCAACAUGCGCUCAUUAGUAAGAGCAGCGCGAGUAAGAAGAUCCUAAAUUAUUACUUUUGAGCAAGAAGGGACCUCAAUCCCAAGAAAGUAGCAGAGAGGGCCAAGAUAAGACAUAAGAAAGUGGGAGCAAAAACGAAGUGACUUAGAAUGAGAACGUGGUAUGAAAUGUCUAGACGAGUGACAUCUAAAUAGACAAGACUCCCAACAAGAUGAUGAUAGCGCGUCAGAUCAAACAAAGGUGGAUGUUGAGCUCCAUGGGAGUUUCAUGCCACUUGAGAGGAUGAAGGCUCUAGCAACAUCGUGCGAGAGGCAUUGGCGCUAGCGAUUUUGCCACCAUCCUAGCCAUGACGACAAUGCCGCGGAGCAUAUAGUAGGAAAGUGGAGCGAUGACGCCGCGGGAGGAGGUGCACUCGAACGGGGGGGCACUGCACUGUAGUCUGUUUCUUUCGGGCAAGUGCCAGGCAGAUAAACAAGGCUUGUAACAAAAUGUCGAUGAAGCGCCAGAUCAGACAGUAGGUCAACAUCACUACCAGGGAGGUGAACAUUGAGCUCCAUGGGAGUCUCAACAUGCGCUCAUUAGUAAGAGCAGCGCGAGUCAGAAGAUCCUAAAUUAUUACUUUUGAGCAGGAAGGGACCUUAAUCCCAAGAAAGUAGCAGAGAGGGCCAAGAUAAGACAUAAGAAACUGCAUACUAAGACAUGCCUUAACAAAGGCAAAUAUACUCAUGGUCUGCGUCAGUGAUGAUCAUGUCAUCAAUAUAUAGAAGAAGAGUCCUACCAGGAGCAGAAAGGAGGACAAACAACGUUGGAUCAUGAGCACUCGAUGAAAACCAGCAACAACCACCAUAGAGGCAAAACGCUCAAACCAGGUGUGAGGGGCUUGCUUAGAGCCAUAGUGAGCGAUGAAGACGACAAAUCAUGUCGUAAGGAGUAGAAUACCCAGUGGUGGCUGUAUGUAAACCUCCUCACGCAACUCACCAUUAAGAAAUGCAUUCUUAACAUUCAAGCCUAGACACAGAUUAGUGGCGAACAGAGGCCAUAAUAAGUGUGCGAACAGUGGUCAAAGAAAGUCUCAUCGUAAUCAGGACCAUGCUCGUGCUGAAAGCCAUGACCCACAACACGAGCUUUGUAACGCCCAAGAGAACCAUCAGAGUGAGUCCUAACCUUGUAGACCCACAAAGUGAUGGGAUGAACACGAGGAGGAACAUAAACAAUAUCCCACGUGCCGAUGCGCUCAAGAGCAGCAGUCUCCUCUGCCAUCACAAGGUGCCAUUUGGUAUGAACAACAUCACAGCAAGAAGUUGGCUCAAGAACAGCAUCGCCAACGCUUGGAAGACAUUGGCGGUCAACAUGCCAAAGCGGACGAGGACGGAAGCCAUAAGUAGGCUGAAACGGGGAAGAUGGCACAUCGGUAGACGCAUCCACAACAUGUAGAUGUCCUAUGUAGAAGUUAGGAAAAGAUGGAAGAAUACGAGCUGGAAUCAUCGGGAUAAACUUAGGUGAUGGAGAUAAGGAAGCCAGCAGUGAUGAAGGUGUAGAAUCAUGUGAUACGUGAGGUGAGGAAAUCAUAGGAGAUGAUGGCGUUGGUUCUACAAUAAUCAGAGAAGAGUGUCGGGAAAACUGUGGAAAGAGAUAUACUCCACUUAAAAGGCCGAAGAAGAUGGACUCAACAAAAGUCAUAUCCCGAGAAAUAGGCAUCCGAUGACCAACAUGAUCCCAACAACAAUAUCCCUUAUGCUCAUCGUUGUAUCCUAAGAAGACACACUCAACAGACUGACAAGUUAGUUUGGUGCGUUCACGAGGGGCAAGGACAUAGAAAACACAACCAAACAAUUGAAGCGUCGAAUAAACGAUCAAAUAGACGCUCGAAAGGAGCGUCACCCUGCAGAGCAGUGGAUUGCUAAAGGUUGAUGAGAUAGAUGGAAGUGGAGACGGACUUGACCCAAAAGUGCGGCGGAAGAGAGGCGGUGACCAUCAACGGACGAGUCGUCUCAAGAAGGUGACGAUGCUUGCGCUCAACCACGCCAUUCUAAGCAUGAGCACCAGGAUAAGAGAACCAAAGUCUGCUCAGAAAGGAUUCCACUAGAGCCAUCAUAGAACACAUGAAUAGGCGUAGAGAACUGAGUGUGAACCAUGGCAGCAAAAAGCUUAUAAGACCUCACUACAAGAAGAAAUAAAGUAUAUCCAGGUGUGUCAAGAGAAGCUACUACCAGAGGCAAAGGCAGAUGGACCCUUGAGAUCAUGUUGAACAAGGUCGGAAGGACGCUGAGGCACUGUCUCGCUACGAGUAUAAGGUAACUAGACCGUGGGACUAGGGAUAUCAUCGGAGACAGAUCCAAGAAGACCACGUCGAACUAAGGAUGAGAGAUCACAAGUGACCCAAGGGGAUGAUGCCAAUCCUGAAAAUAACUGGUAGACAAGGCAACAAAGGCAGAUACUGGUGGCGGUGGCAGCAGAGGGACUUGAUCCAGCAUCCACGUGCUUGUGCACUCUUCGUACCCCACCGAUCUGGCUUGGCGCUCUUUUUCCUGUUUGCGGGUUGUGGGUCACGCACUUGAUUAAGCACCCCAAGUUCUCCUACUGCGCCCUUGGCCUCGACUUUAGGUAGCGCCUGUCCUCGGCUUGUCUCGUGUAUAAUCCAGGUACGCGUCGACUGUCCGAGCUCCUGCUCACCAUUGGUGGUGCUCGAGCGUGCGGUUAUGGUGUCGCACACAAAGGGAACAUGGGAUGUGGGAUUGAGACAGUACUCAUAGCAACCCGCAGCAAGGCAAAGAAUGCCCAUCCAGACUGGCAGGGAGCAAAGGUGGGCAGAAAGGUGGACGUUGACUCCGUAGGAGUGAGUCUCAACAGUGCGCUCAUCAGUAAGAGCGGCACGAGCAAGAAGAUUCUGGAUAUACUUCUCUUAGGAAAUAAGGAACAAUCUCAAGGAAGUAGCGAAGAGGACCAAGAUUCAGCAAUGACCUUAUCACUAAGAGCAGCAUGAGCAAGAAGAUCCUGAAUGUACUUCUCUUGGGAAAUAAAGAAGCCAUUAGAGGUAGAAGAAACCUCAGUUCCAAGUAGUGAAAGGGACCAAGAUCAGACAUUAAAUCUAUUCAUAAGACGAGCCUUCAAAAAGGCAAUGCACUCAAAGUUGUUGGUAGUGAUGAUCAUGUCAUCGACAUAUAGGAGCAAAGCUCGACCAUGAGCUUAAAGAUGGAUAUAAAGUGCAGGAUCAUGAGCGUUUGCAGAAACUAGUCGCAGUCAUCGUUGAGACAAAAAACCUCAAACCGUGCAUGAGGGCUAAAGGUAUAGAGAGAGUGACAAAUAUGGCAGAUCAUGCCAUCAGGGAAAAAUAUCUAUGUGGUGGCUACAUGUAGACCUUCUCAUGCAACUCACCAUUAAAAAAGACAUUCUUGACAUCAAGCUAAGAGACAGACAGUGGCGAGCAAAUAUCACAACGAGAAGUGUGCGGGGAGUGGUCAUGUGGGCCAUAUGAGAAAAUGUCUUAUCGUAGUCAUAGCCAUGUUCCUAUUGAAAGCCACAAGUCACAAGACGAGCUUUGUAAGGCAAGGGAACCAUCAUAGUCUAAAUCUUGUAGACCAAUGUACAAUAUACAAGUGAUGGGUUGAGCAUGAGGAGGAAGGGAAAUGAGAUCCCAUGUGUCAGUGCGUUCAAGAGCAGCAAUCUCCUCUGCCAUCGCAUGUCGCCGUUUGGGUGAACAUCGUGUCACAGUAAGUGGUAUUGAGAAGAGCAGCGCCAGAACACCCAUAGUGAUCAAUAGGUGGAAGCGGGCAAGCGCAGAAGCUAGGUUGAGCUUGAGGCAGUGCGUUUCCAAUAGGAGACAUGGUAAUGGGGGGAGAUUGCUCAUCGAAAGAUGAUGCAUCAGAAGAAUCCACAAGAUGCGGACGACUAGUGUAGUAAAGAAGAGGAUGCGGGGGAAUCACCGGGGAAGUCUUAGGGGACGAAUGAGGUCGGGAAGCCACAGGUGACGAUGAUGUGGGGUCUACAAUAGUAGUAUAGGGAGACACAUUGGAAUGGAUGUAGGAGGGCAAAACAUGAGUGAUAGGUGUAUCGGAAAGCGUUACGAAAGAAAUAUCCUCAAUGGGAGAGGCCGAAGGAGAGGAUGUACGUGGAUAGAAAGGACGAGACUCGUCAAAAGUCACACCCUGAGGAAUGCGCAUUCACCGAUUGAUAGGAUCCCAACAUUGAUAGCCCUUGUGCUCAUCAGCGUAACCUAAGAAGACACAUUCCAUAGACUAAGCAGUCAGUUUGGCGCGUUCAGGGGGGGAGAAGAACGUAGUAAACACAACAAAACAAAUGAAGCGCUCAGUAGCCAUGAGAACGACAAACAAACACUCGAUAGGAAUGUCACCUUGCAAAGCAAGGAAGGCUGACUUUGACGGGGUAGGUGGAAGUAGAAACAACUUCAACCCAAAAGUGAGGUGAAAGAGAGGUGUUGAUCUUCGAUGCAUAAGCCGCCUCAAGAAGUUGAUGAUUCUUACACUUAGCAAACCAUUCUGAGCAUCAGGGCCACAACAUGAGAACUGAGAAAGUGUGCCCUGCUCAGCAAGGAAUCCGCACAACAAAUGAUAGAUGAACUCACAAGCAAAAUCUUCAUGGAAGACACAAUUGGGAGUGGAAAACCCGGUAUGAAGCAUGGGGGCGAACUUCUUACUGAUAGAUAAGACCUCACUACAAGAAAAUCAUACAAUAUAUCCAUGUGUGUUGAGAGAAAACAUCUAUAAAGAUAAUAUAGUGGUGAUGGCCUCUUUUUGAGGCAAAGGGAGUUGGACCCCAAACAUCAAAAUGAAUAAGACAGAAAGGACGAGACACAAUCUCACUAGUAAUUGAACCUGUUUGCCAAGCCGACAAACCUAAUAGUCUAAAGACACCGCUAGAGAUAGGUCCAAGAAGACCACUUUGAACUAAGGAUGAGAAACAAGAACCACACAAGUGAAAAAGAUGAUGAUGCCACAAAGAGACAGUAAACGAAGUAACCAAGGCGAAGAGACUGUCGAUGGUGGCAGCAAAGCGACCAGUCAAGCUCCCAGAGGAUGUGGGAGUUACAACGAUGAUGGCCAACACAAGUAAAGCAUCCAUCUGAGGAUCGUAAUCAGAACAAGAGUUAAACUAAAGAAUGGUUGUACAACCAAAGUCGACAAUCUGACCACCUAAAAUGAGC